RNAcentral lists this small nuclear RNA (107 nucleotides) under Myotis brandtii (Brandt's bat). The record is from RNAcentral. Lineage: Eukaryota; Metazoa; Chordata; Mammalia; Chiroptera; Vespertilionidae.
GUGCUCACUUCAGCAGCACAUACACUAAAACUGGAAUGAUACAGAGAAGAUUAGCAUGGCCCCUGCACAAGGAUGACACGCAAAUUUGUCAAGCGUUCCAUAUUUUA